Ciona intestinalis (vase tunicate) is the source of this 440-nucleotide non-coding RNA. NCBI's taxonomy places the organism in Eukaryota, Metazoa, Chordata, Ascidiacea, Phlebobranchia, Cionidae. The record is from RefSeq and is a predicted model, not a curated record.
AGUCUCCUUUUAGGUGUUUGCUUUAUGUCCAAUUUUUCAUCUGAAUCUUCAGCCAUUCUUGUACUUAAAGGUCUAAACCUUGCCCACGAAUGAACCGAUUAUUUAAACCCAGUUUAACUUCUGUAAGGAUCACCACCAGCAAAUACAAUCACACGACUGUAUAUGGAUCUCGUAACUGUAAGCUCUGGGAAAGGAUAUUGGCAAUUUCCUAUACAUUUAUCUGCUUGGUUUAUUUAACGAUUUUAACAAAAGCUUUUAUAAAACAAUUCAAGAAUUUAAAACGACAUACUUCACAAUGCUCGGUACGCUUGUGAGCGCUGAUCCACAUAUUUGUUAACAACGGUUUCGAUAUGUCCGGGAACGCUUUACAUUUUCAACUGCUUUUUACCUUUAGGCACUUUUUAACGACUGUAGUUUUUCAAAUAAAUCCUUCGAUUCUU